AUGAACGCUGGCGGCGUGCCUAAUACAUGCAAGUCGAGCGAACAGACGAGGAGCUUGCUCCUCUGACGUUAGCGGCGGACGGGUGAGUAACACGUGGAUAACCUACCUAUAAGACUGGGAUAACUUCGGGAAACCGGAGCUAAUACCGGAUAAUAUAUUGAACCGCAUGGUUCAAUAGUGAAAGACGGUUUUGCUGUCACUUAUAGAUGGAUCCGCGCCGCAUUAGCUAGUUGGUAAGGUAACGGCUUACCAAGGCGACGAUGCGUAGCCGACCUGAGAGGGUGAGCGGCCACACUGGAACUGAGACACGGUACAGACUCCUACGGGAGGCAGCAGUAGGGAAUCUUCCGCAAUGGGCGAAAGCCUGACGGAGCAACGCCGCGUGAGUGAUGAAGGUCUUCGGAUCGUAAAACUCUGUUAUUAGGGAAGAACAAAUGUGUAAGUAACUAUGCACGUCUUGACGGUACCUAAUCAGAAAGCCACGGCUAACUACGUG
This 496-nucleotide ribosomal RNA is filed under the name uncultured bacterium. Its description in RNAcentral is "partial 16S ribosomal RNA". It matches the Rfam family "Bacterial small subunit ribosomal RNA", at positions 29 to 507 of the family's 1533-position model. The record is from RNAcentral.